UGCUGUCGGCGGUUUACGACAGCCACGCUCAGAAAGGUCGUGUCUUCUCUCCAUGAAGCAGCCGGAGUAAAGGAGGGUGUUUAGUAAUCUGAACACUCCAGUUUCUAUGAAGAUAUUAGAAGACAUGAUAGAGCCAUCUUUCAUGAGAAGCAUUCAAGGAAGACAUCUCUGGAAUUCCUGUUUUCCUCUUGAAAGUGCCUUUGAAAACCAGUGCGCCACAGACAGCUUUGGGAGGUCUGCCCUGCCCUCUGCCGUUCCUCAAAGUAAAUGCAGCCACCAUCCACAUUUACUUUAUGUGCAUGAUGAGAACCAGAGUGUUUUGCCAACUAUGGGCUGAGCACUCUCAGCCUGUCAGGCAAUUAGUAGACAUACACCAUCUUAACUCCUUCUUAAUAUUCAUCAUGAUCCUAUGAGAUGAAUAAAAUUCCUAUUUCACAUUUGAGGAACUCUUCCCAGAGACACUAUGCAAUGUGUUCAGGACACACAGCUAAUAAAGUUCUGCAGCUUUGGUCCUGGCCGACGUUAAAAUACACAGUCA
This is a long non-coding RNA of Peromyscus leucopus (white-footed mouse), 538 nucleotides long. RefSeq lists it as uncharacterized. The record is from RefSeq and is a predicted model, not a curated record. Lineage: Eukaryota; Metazoa; Chordata; Mammalia; Rodentia; Cricetidae. The transcript has 2 exons.